AUGACUAGCACACAACGGAGUGAAAGCGCAAACCACAUGUUGAAGAACUAUGUGCUGCCUGGGUGUCCAAUGCAUAUCUUUGUGAGGAAAUACAUGAGUUUGAUUUUUGACAGGGAAUCUAAAGGGAAUUAUGAGGAGAAGCGGACAACAAUUGGAAGGCCCCUUAUGCGAGCAAAUCUGGCAACUGAGAGACAUGCUGGGAAGAUUUACACGAGGGCGAUGUUUGAGCAAUUUGGCCACAUAUUAUAUGAGUGUGGUGCCUAUCAGGUGGAAGAGAUUGAGAAAGGCAAAGCGUACGUGGCAAUACAUACAGAUGCUGCAAGGAGGGAGAAAUGGUGCCGAACCUCAUACAAGGUCACGGUGGUUGAAGCAGGGGAGGAGUUUGAUUGUGAGUGCAGGCAAUUUGCACACAUGGGCCUGCUGUGCAGCCAUAUCCUGAAGUUUUCGUUAAUGCAGGUUCUCGACUUCAUUCGUGUGACAGAAAUCCCAAAGAAGCACGUUGUGAAAAGAUGGACAAGGGACGCGAGAGAUAUACUUCCAGCCCACCUGGUGCAGUACCAGAAAGACAAUGCCCAGGGAAACCCAUUUAGUUUUCGGCAUUUCAACAUGUAUAUGCAAGCCAUGGAACUUGUUAGGAUGGGUGACUCAAGUGUGGCAGCAUACGAGCGAUUGACUACACUAUUCAACCAAUGUGCAGCUGAAAUGAAGCCACUCACAGAGGUCAGAGAUGGCCUAGGAUUGGAAGACAGGUUGGCAGCUAAUAAUACGGUUCCUAGUAGGGUUGAAGCAAACACCAUUCCGAGUAGGUUUGAGGCAGAUCCCGACGCAUUCGAGGCAGUAGAAGGUACACAAAUGAUCAUCGGAAAUGAUGACAGCAUAUCAGCUAAUGUGUCAGUGACUAGGCUGGAUAACCUGCUAGCACCAGCAAAGCGGAAGCAAGUUGGAAGGCCGACGAGCAGUAAGGAGAAGGCCCCAUAUGAGGGUUUAAGUAAGAGAACUAGAUUUUGCGGCAUAUGCAGGCAGCAAGGACAUAAGAGAACAACCUGA
This 1047-nucleotide ribosomal RNA is filed under the name Triticum aestivum (bread wheat). RNAcentral describes it as "partial small subunit ribosomal RNA". Lineage: Eukaryota; Viridiplantae; Streptophyta; Magnoliopsida; Poales; Poaceae. The record is from RNAcentral.